This 253-nucleotide ribosomal RNA is filed under the name uncultured bacterium. RNAcentral's name for it is "partial 16S ribosomal RNA". It matches the Rfam family "Bacterial small subunit ribosomal RNA", at positions 524 to 776 of the family's 1533-position model. The record is from RNAcentral.
UACGUAGGGGGCUAGCGUUGUCCGGAAUCAUUGGGCGUAAAGCGCGUGUAGGCGGCUCGGUAAGUCCGCUGUGAAAGUCGGGGGCUCAACCCUCGGAUGCCGGUGGAUACUGUCGGGCUAGAGUACGGAAGAGGCGAGUGGAAUUCCUGGUGUAGCGGUGAAAUGCGCAGAUAUCAGGAGGAACACCGGUGGCGAAGGCGGGUCUCUGGGCCGAUACUGACGCUGAGGAGCGAAAGCGUGGGGAGCGAACAGG